GGUUUAAUUCGAAGCAACGCGAAGAACCGUACCAGGUCUUGACAUCCUGUGACCACUCUGGAGAAAGAGCUUUCGCGUCGGGGACAAAGUGACAGGUGGUGCAUGGUUGUCGUCAGCUCGUGUCGUGGGAUGUUGGGUUAAGUCCCGCAACGAGCGCAACCCUUGAUUUUAGUUGCCAGCAUUUAGUUGGGCACUCUAAAGUGA
This 204-nucleotide ribosomal RNA is filed under the name Listeria monocytogenes. RNAcentral's name for it is "partial 16S ribosomal RNA". It matches the Rfam family "Bacterial small subunit ribosomal RNA", at positions 943 to 1148 of the family's 1533-position model. The record is from RNAcentral. Lineage: Bacteria; Bacillati; Bacillota; Bacilli; Caryophanales; Listeriaceae.